This 512-nucleotide ribosomal RNA is filed under the name Micrococcus luteus. RNAcentral describes it as "partial 16S ribosomal RNA". The record is from RNAcentral. Lineage: Bacteria; Bacillati; Actinomycetota; Actinomycetes; Micrococcales; Micrococcaceae.
GGGGAAACCGUAUCUCUACGGCGAUCGAGAACAUGUCAAGCCUUGGUAAGGUUCUUCGCGUUGCAUCGAAUUAAUCCGCAUGCUCCGCCGCUUGUGCGGGCCCCCGUCAAUUCCUUUGAGUUUUAGCCUUGCGGCCGUACUCCCCAGGCGGGGCACUUAAUGCGUUAGCUGCGGCGCGGAAACCGUGGAAUGGUCCCCACACCUAGUGCCCAACGUUUACGGCAUGGACUACCAGGGUAUCUAAUCCUGUUCGCUCCCCAUGCUUUCGCUCCUCAGCGUCAGUUACAGCCCAGAGACCUGCCUUCGCCAUCGGUGUUCCUCCUGAUAUCUGCGCAUUCCACCGCUACACCAGGAAUUCCAGUCUCCCCUACUGCACUCUAGUCUGCCCGUACCCACCGCAGAUCCGGGGUUAAGCCCCGGACUUUCACGACAGACGCGACAAACCGCCUACGAGCUCUUUACGCCCAAUAAUUCCGGAUAACGCUCGCACCCUACGUAUUACCGCGGCUGCU